CCAUUUUGAGAGUGCUUUAAUUAACAAUCGAACUUGUAACUUCAGUUUAAACAAAACAGAAAUCUUAAUUGUUAACCAAAAUAACCCUUGAACUUGAGUUUUAAAAUGUCAUAGUUUGGGAUUCUUAGUUCUCUCUCUCUCUCCCUUCAUCUCUAAUAUGCAAAGAGCCCAGAAAGGUGCAAAACUUCAGAGAGGCAUCAGAAUCAAAGCUGAACAGUUGGAUUCAAAUUGCAGAGGAAGAAAAGGAACAUCUCGGAGAAUCGCGAGGGAUCUGACUGUCGAUAUUGCUUUCAAUCAGCUUGAGCCCCUGCUGCAUUUUAAAUGUAGUUUUCUAGAGCCUACAUGAUAUGUGAUAGUGGAAGAG
RNAcentral lists this long non-coding RNA (364 nucleotides) under Equus caballus (horse). Its description in RNAcentral is "lncRNA (ENSECAG00000050534.1)". The record is from RNAcentral. Lineage: Eukaryota; Metazoa; Chordata; Mammalia; Perissodactyla; Equidae.